AACGGAAAGGCUCCAGCUUGCUGGAGUGCUCGAGUGGCGAACGGGUGAGUAACACGUGGGCAAUCUGCCCUGCACUCUGGGAUAAGCCUGGGAAACUGGGUCUAAUACCGGAUAGGACCUUUCUCCUCAUGGGGUUUGGUGGAAAGUUUUUCGGUGCAGGAUGAGCCCGCGGCCUAUCAGCUUGUUGGUGGGGUAAUGGCCUACCAAGGCGACGACGGGUAGCCGGCCUGAGAGGGUGAUCGGCCACAUUGGGACUGAGAUACGGCCCAGACUCCUACGGGAGGCAGCAGUGGGGAAUAUUGCACAAUGGGCGAAAGCCUGAUGCAGCGACGCCGCGUGAGGGAUGACGGCCUUCGGGUUGUAAACCUCUUUCAGUAGGGACGAAGCGCAAGUGACGGUACCUGCAGAAGAAGCACCGGCUAACUACGUGCCAGCAGCCGCGGUAAUACGUAGGGUGCGAGCGUUGUCCGGAAUUACUGGGCGUAAAGAGCUCGUAGGCGGUUUGUCAMGUCGUCUGUGAAAUCCUAGGGCUUAACCCUGGACGUG
RNAcentral lists this ribosomal RNA (546 nucleotides) under uncultured Actinomycetales bacterium. Its description in RNAcentral is "bacterial SSU rRNA". It matches the Rfam family "Bacterial small subunit ribosomal RNA", at positions 65 to 623 of the family's 1533-position model. The record is from RNAcentral. Lineage: Bacteria; Bacillati; Actinomycetota; Actinomycetes; Actinomycetales.